Long non-coding RNA from Stegodyphus dumicola, 537 nucleotides. RefSeq lists it as uncharacterized. The record is from RefSeq and is a predicted model, not a curated record. Lineage: Eukaryota; Metazoa; Arthropoda; Arachnida; Araneae; Eresidae.
GGACUAAAAAAAAACCCAGCUAUUUAAAAAAAAAAAAAAAAAGUUUUGAUUUUCUGAUGACAAACUGAAAACUGUUGUAUUAUUAAAUGUUCCAGGUCUACUCUGUUUUUAAUUAAAAACUAUACCGAGUCCGGAUUUUUGAAAAUUCCAGAUAUUCAGUUGACUUUAUAUGCUAUAUACAUGGUAAAGGCAAAGCAAGUAUUUUAGCAUCAGGCUGUUAUUUGAAAAAAAAAAAAAAAAAAAUCCAAAUUCUGCACUUCUAAUAUUUGCUAAAUGGAAUAGAAGACAUGGAAUCUCUUGGACCAGCUCAGAAUAAACAGCCCAUUAUAGUGUGUAUUACAAGUUCAUUCUAUAUUAAAGCAGUAAAUCACUUAAUAGCAUGCCCAAAUCAUGCCAUGAAGGCAUUUGACAUUCUAUUUAAAACUAAUUUUGUAUUUAGCGUUCAAUAUGCACAUACAUCAACAAAUUUUUAUAAUUUUGUGGCAAGCCUUUUGUAUAAUGUCAGCACUCCUAGAGCUUGUGUGGACUCUUUAAAUA